AAGCCUGAUCCAGCCAUGCCGCGUGUGUGAAGAAGGCCUUUUGGUUGUAAAGCACUUUAAGCGAGGAGGAGGCUCCUUUAGUUAAUACCUAAAGUGAGUGGACGUUACUCGCAGAAUAAGCACCGGCUAACUCUGUGCCAGCAGCCGCGGUAAUACAGAGGGUGCGAGCGUUAAUCGGAUUUACUGGGCGUAAAGCGUGCGUAGGCGGCUUUUUAAGUCGGAUGUGAAAUCCCUGAGCUUAACUUAGGAAUUGCAUUCGAUACUGGAAAGCUAGAGUAUGGGAGAGGAUGGUAGAAUUCCAGGUGUAGCGGUGAAAUGCGUAGAGAUCUGGAGGAAUACCGAUGGCGAAGGCAGCCAUCUGGCCUAAUACUGACGCUGAGGUACGAAAGCAUGGGGAGCAAACAGGAUUAGAUACCCUGGUAGUCCAUGCCGUAAACGAUGUCUACUAGCCGUUGGGGCCUUUGAGGCUUUAGUGGCGCAGCUAACGCGAUAAGUAGACCGCCUGGGGAGUACGGUCGCAAGACUAAAACUCAAAUGAAUUGACGGGGGCCCGCACAAGCGGUGGAGCAUGUGGUUUAAUUCGAUGCAACGCGAAGAACCUUACCUGGCCUUGACAUACUAAGAACUUUCCAGAGAUGGAUUGGUGCCUUCGGGAACUUAGAUACAGGUGCUGCAUGGCUGUCGUCAGCUCGUGUCGUGAGAUGUUGGGUUAAGUCCCGCAACGAGCGCAACCCUUUUCCUUAUUUGCCAGCGGGU
Molecule: ribosomal RNA, 756 nt
Filed under: Acinetobacter schindleri
Lineage: Bacteria; Pseudomonadati; Pseudomonadota; Gammaproteobacteria; Moraxellales; Moraxellaceae
Description: bacterial SSU rRNA
Rfam family: Bacterial small subunit ribosomal RNA
Source: RNAcentral